RNAcentral lists this ribosomal RNA (885 nucleotides) under Triticum aestivum (bread wheat). RNAcentral's name for it is "partial small subunit ribosomal RNA". The record is from RNAcentral. Lineage: Eukaryota; Viridiplantae; Streptophyta; Magnoliopsida; Poales; Poaceae.
AUGGUUCACCACAAGAUACUGCAACAACACUCUCUCGGACAGCCCACGGAAUGGGGACACUCCCAUUUGGCGAUGCCUGGAAUCAACAAUUCAGCUUGUUUACAAUCUAUGAGGUGCGUUUUGGGGGACGGAUCUAGAAUCUCUUUUUGGAAGGAUUUGUGGCUUGCUUGCGGAAGGCUUGAGUUCUCCUUCCCAGUGCUUUUCUCAUUUGCCCGAAACAAGAGCUGCUCGGUUGCCUCUCAGUUCAAUGCUGGAGUUUGGGACGUCAAACUACAUCCAAACCUCACUACCGCAACCAACAGAGAGUUGCAAGCUCUAUAUGAAAUAUUGAACGGCAUCCAACCUGUGGACGAUCAGGCAGAUUCCCGGAGGCCAAUCUGUUUGUACAACAAGACUACAACACACUUCUUUUAUGAGAUGCUCACGUUUAAAGGAAUUCAGUGCCCUUUGAAGAACAAGAUCUGGGACAGUCUUAUUCCGAAUAAACACAAAGUUUUCCUAUGGUUAGCAAUCCGUGGUAGAGUGAACACAAGGGAUAACAUGCUGAAGAAACACUGGAAGGUCACAACUCAUAAUGGUUGCGAUUGGUGCCCCGCAUCAGAAACCAUUUAUCAAAUUAUUCUGCGAUGCCGGUUAGCAGAUGCAGUCUGGCAAAGGAUCGGCAUGCUAAGUAUUGCCAAUGCCUGCCCGGACCUACAAACCUUCAUCUUAUCAGCAGAGGCCUUUGCUACGCAUGGCAAGCUUUGGCACAUCCUCUUUGCAGCGAUUGCAGUUGCUCUUUGGACAGCCCGGAACACGCUAGUCUUCAGAACAGAGACUUGGACUGCAUCUCGGGUUUUCAAUGAGAUUCAUCAACUUAUACAUCUUUGGAAGCAUAGAGCCUGA